Molecule: ribosomal RNA, 205 nt
Filed under: Pneumocystis jirovecii
Lineage: Eukaryota; Fungi; Ascomycota; Pneumocystomycetes; Pneumocystales; Pneumocystaceae
Description: partial large subunit ribosomal RNA
Rfam family: Bacterial large subunit ribosomal RNA
Source: RNAcentral
UUCUGCGAAUUGUUUUGGCAAUUGUUUAUUCCUCUUAAAAAUAGUAGGUAUAGCACUGAAUAUCUCGAGGGAGUAUGAAAAUAUUUAUCUCAGAUAUUUAAUCUCAAAAUAACUAUUUCUUAAAAUAAAUAAUCAGACUAUGUGCGAUAAGGUAGAUAGUCGAAAGGGAAACAGCCCAGAACAGUAAUUAAAGCUCCCCAAUUAA